CUUUCCAGUUGCCCUAAAUAUCCCUCAGUUACUUUGAAGAACAGUUUCUUCAUAAGGAGCUGUUUCCUGGUCUAUACAGCAGGAAAAACUUGAAAGGAAGUUGUAAGCAAGAGACACAUAAAACUUCAGGAGUAGGUGAAACUCUGAAUGUUGUCAAUAAAACUAAAUAAUCUGGUGAAGAACUUUAAGUGCUACAAAGCACUGACAUGAUGAAGAACACCUGAUUAUAAGGUAAGUCAGA
Molecule: long non-coding RNA, 241 nt
Filed under: Anser brachyrhynchus (Pink-footed goose)
Lineage: Eukaryota; Metazoa; Chordata; Aves; Anseriformes; Anatidae
Description: lncRNA (ENSABRG00000019919.1)
Source: RNAcentral